GUGCUCGCUUCAGCAGCACAUACACUAAAAUUGGAAAGAUACAGAGAAGAUUAACAUGGCCCCAGCACAAGGAUAACACGCAAAUUCAUGAAGAGCGGUCGAUGUGU
This is a small nuclear RNA of Erinaceus europaeus (western European hedgehog), 107 nucleotides long. Lineage: Eukaryota; Metazoa; Chordata; Mammalia; Eulipotyphla; Erinaceidae. The record is from RefSeq and is a predicted model, not a curated record.